UAGUCCACGCCGUAAACGAUGGAUACUAGCUGUUGGGUUUCGGCUCAGUGGCUAAGCGAAAGUGAUAAGUAUCCCACCUGGGGAGUACGUUCGCAAGAAUGAAACUCAGAGGAAUUGACGGGGGCCCGCACAAGCGGUGGAGCAUGUGGUUUAAUUCGAUGAUACGCGAGGAACCUUACCAGGGCUUAAAUGUAAGUUGCAUGAUCUAGAGAUAGGUCUUUCUUCGGACCACUUACAAGGUGCUGCAUGGUUGUCGUCAGCUCGUGCCGUGAGGUGUCAGGUUAAGUCCUAUAACGAGCGCAACACCUAUUUUUAGUUGCCAGCACAUAAUGGUGGGGACUCUAGAAAGACUGCCGGCGUAAGCCGCGAGGAAGGUGGGGAUGACGUCAAAUCAUCAUGGCCUUUAUGCCCAGGGCUACACACGUGCUACAAUGGACAGGACAAAGGGUCNCCAAACCGCGAGGUGGAGCUAAUCCCAGAAACCUGUUCUCAGUUCGGAUUGAAGU
Molecule: ribosomal RNA, 506 nt
Filed under: uncultured bacterium
Lineage: Bacteria
Description: bacterial SSU rRNA
Rfam family: Bacterial small subunit ribosomal RNA
Source: RNAcentral